UAACGCGUGGGCAACCUGACCCCAUAGAGGGGGGACAACAGCUGGAAACGGCUGCUAAUACCGCAUAACAAGGAGAGAGCGCAUGUUCUUUUCUUCAAAGAUUUAUCGCUAUGGGAUGGACCCGCGUCUGAUUAGCUAGUUGGUGAGGUAACGGCUCACCAAGGCGACGAUCAGUAGCCGGCUUGAGAGAGUGAACGGCCACAUUGGGACUGAGACACGGCCCAGACUCCUACGGAAGGCAGCAG
Molecule: ribosomal RNA, 245 nt
Filed under: uncultured bacterium
Lineage: Bacteria
Description: partial 16S ribosomal RNA
Rfam family: Bacterial small subunit ribosomal RNA
Source: RNAcentral